AGAGCGAACGCUGGCGGCAGGCCUAAUACAUGCAAGUCGAACGGACCCUUCGGGGUUAGUGGCGGACGGGUGAGUAACACGUGGGAACGUGCCCUUUGGUUCGGAACAACUCAGGGAAACUUGAGCUAAUACCGAAUGUGCCCUUCGGGGGAAAGAUUUAUCGCCAUUGGAGCGGCCCGCGUCUGAUUAGCUAGUUGGUGGGGUAAAGGCUCACCAAGGCUACGAUCAGUAGCUGGUCUGAGAGGAUGAUCAGCCACACUGGGACUGAGACACGGCCCAGACUCCUACGGGAGGCAGCAGUAGGGAAUCUUGCGCAAUGGGCGAAAGCCUGACGCAGCCAUGCCGCGUGAAUGAUGAAGGUCUUAGGAUUGUAAAAUUCUUUCAGCGGGGACGAUAAUGGACGGUACCCGCAGAAGAAGCCCCGGCUAAACUUCGUGCCAGCAGCGC
RNAcentral lists this ribosomal RNA (447 nucleotides) under uncultured bacterium. RNAcentral's name for it is "SSU rRNA". It matches the Rfam family "Bacterial small subunit ribosomal RNA", at positions 26 to 518 of the family's 1533-position model. The record is from RNAcentral.